AUUGAACGCUGGCGGCAGGCUUAACACAUGCAAGUCGAGCGGGGUGAUGGUGCUUGCACUAUCACUUAGCGGCGGACGGGUGAGUAAUGCUUAGGAAUCUGCCUAUUAGUGGGGGACAACAUCUCGAAAGGGAUGCUAAUACCGCAUACGUCCUACGGGAGAAAGCAGGGGAUCACUUGUGACCUUGCGCUAAUAGAUGAGCCUAAGUCGGAUUAGCUAGUUGGUGGGGUAAAGGCCUACCAAGGCGACGAUCUGUAGCGGGUCGGAGAGGAUGGUCCGCCAGACUGGGACUGAGGCACGGCCGAGACUGCUACGGGAGGCAGCAGGGGGGAGUAUUGGACAAUGGGGGGAACCCUGAGCCAGCCAUGCCGCGUGUGUGAAGAAGGCCUUAUGGUUGUAAAGCACUUUAAGCGAGGAGGAGGCUCUUUUGGUUAAUACCCAAGAUGAGUGGACGUUACUCGCAGAAUAAGCACCGGCUAACUCUGUGCCAGCCGCCGCCGUAA
This 503-nucleotide ribosomal RNA is filed under the name uncultured bacterium. RNAcentral describes it as "partial 16S ribosomal RNA". It matches the Rfam family "Bacterial small subunit ribosomal RNA", at positions 30 to 523 of the family's 1533-position model. The record is from RNAcentral.